AUUGAACGCUGGCGGCAUGCCUUACACAUGCAAGUCGAACGGCAGCACGGGAGCAAUCCUGGUGGUGAGUGGCGAACGGGUGAGUAAAGUAUCGGAACGUGCCCAGUCGUGGGGGAUAACGUAGCGAAAGUUACGCUAAUACCGCAUACGAUCUAUGGAUGAAAGCGGGGGAUCGCAAGACCUCGCGCGAUUGGAGCGGCCGAUAUCAGAUUAGGUAGUUGGUGGGGUAAAGGCUCACCAAGCCGACGAUCUGUAGCUGGUCUGAGAGGACGAGCAGCCACACUGGAACGGAGACACGGUCCAGACUCCUACGGGAGGCAGCAGUGGGGAAUUUUGGACAAUGGGCGCAAGCCUGAUCCAGCAAUGCCGCGUGCAGGAUGAAGGCCUUCGGGUUGUAAACUGCUUUUGUACGGAACGAAACGGUGAGCUCUAAUACAGUUUGCUAAUGACGGUACCGUAAGAAUAAGCACCGGCUAACUACGUGCCAGCCGCCGCAGUAA
Molecule: ribosomal RNA, 500 nt
Filed under: uncultured bacterium
Lineage: Bacteria
Description: partial 16S ribosomal RNA
Rfam family: Bacterial small subunit ribosomal RNA
Source: RNAcentral